This 1257-nucleotide long non-coding RNA is filed under the name Homo sapiens (human). RNAcentral describes it as "non-protein coding lnc-STARD8-2:1". The record is from RNAcentral. Lineage: Eukaryota; Metazoa; Chordata; Mammalia; Primates; Hominidae.
AUGGUGGGAGGGCUGCAGGCCUGUGUGGUGGACUGUAGCAUGGGGUAUACAAAACUAGGAUAUGCCAGAAAUAUAGAACCACAGUUGAUCAUCCUUUCCUGUAUUGCUACUAAGGAGUCACCAAAAGUGGGUGAUCAAUCUCAAAGGAGGGUGAUGAAAAGUAUUGAUGACCAAGACUUCUUCAUUGGUGAUGAAGCAGUAGAAAAAACCUACAUAUGCAACAAAGUGGCCAAUCCGCCAUGGUAUAGUUGAAGUUGGACCUGACAAAAAGUUUUAUAGAGCAAGUCAUCUUAAAUAUUUAAGGGCAGAAACUGAAGACCGUUAUUUUAUUUUGUCUGAACCUCGACUUAAUACUCCAGAAAACAGGGAAUAUACUGCUGAAGUAAUGUUUGAGUCCUUCAGUGUUCCAGGCUUGUACAUUGCUGUGCAGGCUGUUCUUGCCUUAGCUGCAUCUUGGACCUCCAGACAAGUAGGAGGACGGACAUUUACAGGUACAGUAAUAGACAGUGGAGAUGGUGUCACUCAUGUCAUUGCUAUGGCUGAAGGGUAUUUGAUUGCCAACUGUAUUAAACACAUUCCAAUCCCAGGACGAAAUAUAACAUAUUUUAUUCCGCAACUGCUGAGAGACCAAGAAGUAGGAAUCCCUCAAAAACAAUCCCUGGAAACUGCUAAGACAAUAAAGGAGCACUAUAGUUAUGUCUGCCCAGAUUUAGUAAAGGAAUUUAACAAGUAUGACACAGAUGGGUCAAAAUGGAUUAAGCAGUAUACCAGAAUCAAUGCUAUCUCAAAGAAAGAAUUUUCCAUUGGUGUUGUUUCUGAGAGACUUUUGGGAUUUGAAAUCUUUUUUUCAUCUAGAGUUUGCCAAUCCAGACUUUACAUAACCUAUCUCAGAAAUUGUAGGUGAAGUAAUUCAGAAUUGUCCUAUUGAUGUCAGACGGCCUCUCUAUAAGAAUAUGGUCCUCUCUGUAGGUUCAACCAUGUUCAGUGACUUUGGAUAUCACUUGCAAAGAGAUUUGAAAAGAACUGUAUGUAGAUGCCUGGCUGAAAUUAAGUAAGGAAUUGAGUGGCAGUAGAUUGAAGCCAAAAUCUAUUGAUGUACAAGUCGUUACACACCAUAUGCAGCCAUAUGCAGUUUGGUUUGGAGGAUCAAUGCUGGCUUCCACGCCGGAGUUCUACCAAGUAUGCCACACUAAAAAUCAUUAUGAAGAAAUUGGACCUAGCAUUUGCCGUCACAAUCCGGUGUUUGGAGUCAUGUCA